GCACAGAUCCAGGCCUCAGAAGUGCUCAUCAUGUCAUGUGGCUGGAUCCUAAUUAAUUUCCAGGCUUUGGCCGUGGGAGCCCUCUGUGAAUGAGUGGCAUGGUACUCCCACUGGGAUGUGGAUUCCAAGGGUUUCACUGCUGGAAUCAGCUAUUGGGGAUGGGGAGUUAUGGUAGCCAUUGAAUUCUAGAACGGAAAUGGAGGGAGCCUGGAGAUGCCUUCUCUACGCAUAAAAGCUGUUGCCACUCACGUCUUAGGGGUUUCUUCCGUGAAAUGUAUUCAACGAGGAAGUGCUGAGGCCCGCAGUGCCUUGCCCUGGCCUGGGGGUGAUGAUUCAGCGGGAGAACCCUGGUUGAGACGGCCUCCGUCUGGGGCUUGUUCAGGGAGGGUUGCUGCCCUCUUGGCUGACUGUCCACGCCGCGGUCCGGGAGCAAGGCUGCACCCAGCAAUGCUGUUUUGUGCUAAGAGGGACCUGGAGGACUGUGAAAAGGAGGCUCCUCCCACCACCUCCCCAGGUCUGGAUGCGUUCUGGGGAACAGGAGAGCAAGCCUCAGCGCCCAGGAAGCCCCGUGUGGCAGAGGCCCCAGGACACAGAUGAAUGAGGUGUCGGAUGAGGAAGCUGGAGCUUGGAGGGCGAGGCCCUGGGCACCGAGGGCGUCAUGAGACUGGAGGAUUCCGCUGGUCCAGCAGGACGAAGCCGCCCUUCCCAACUGCAGUCGGCGUCUGUCCUGUGCGUGUGUCCAGGUACAUGAGCCAGAAGGAGGUCUCCACAAGGACCCAGCUCUCUUCUGCCCGACCCCAUUAAGCACCUGCCCUUCACAUGCGGGGAGCAGACACCAACAGAGAUGACGGGUGACACUGUCUUGAAAAUGGUCACCAGACACAGCCUCCAGGCCACGUGGCAGGGCCACACAUCCAUGGCCGCUACUCUGGGUGACACACACUCCCUUGGGAUCCUGGGGAUGGACUGAGCCCAAAGCCCCAGCCUGUGCCUGGUUUCCUCUGCUGGUCCACACCUCAGUCCUGCCCUGUCCCAGGGAAUCUGAGCCCCAGCCUGUGCCUGAUUUCCUCUGCUGCCAUCCCUGCUGGUCCACACCUCAGUCCUGCCCUGUCCCAGGGAAUCUGAGCCCCAGCCUGUGCCUGAUUUCCUCUGCUGCCAUCCCUGCUGGUCCACACCUCAGUCCUGCCCUGUCCCAGGGAAUCUGAGCCCCAGCUAGAAUUCUAAUUCAGUGUGUACAGGAAUGUUCCGAAACCCUUUGCGUGGGGCCGUCAGACACAGAGCGGCAGUGGGGACCCCGGAAUGAGGGUGUCCUGCUGAGGGCUGGCCGUGUUGGUGGUGGGGCCUGGCUUGGAGGGGGCUGUGUCCAGGGUCACACGAGGCCAGCCUGGCCUGUUCCUGCUCCUGCUCUGUGACACUUGCCACCUCCCCAACUCCCCGUGCCAGCUCCUCAGCUGGAAGCUUCAGAUCAGCAUCCCCCACGGGUCCCGUUGGGUCUUUGGUGAGCUCUCUGGCUUCUUAGCACCCCCACCAUGCUUCUCCCACAGCCGUCACACCUCUAACAGCAGCCCGCAGCAGAGCAAUUUGACAUUUUGGGGAAAAAAAAAACCGAGAAAAUGAGCAUCAGAGACGCACUUGGUGGUGGAGCCGAGGGUCUGUCUCCCACACGUAGGCCUGUGCUGCCUGUGGAGUGGGCUGGCCCUCAUGGAGAUGCUCCCUCCCUUGUGGUCAGGAGCAGGCUCAAGCCCAUCUGGGUCUGGGCAUGCUUUGCUGGGUGAGAAAGAGGGUGGAACAGAGCCCCCAGGCUCUCCUCUGUGAAGGAGACCCCCACAGACGCCAGGUCCCCAGCGAGGCCGUGGAUUGCGUUUUCAGAGGCAGCUGCUCCCCCGCCCAAGCUCUGCUCCAGGCGGGCAGGGAUCUGUGAGACUGGCUGUUCCGAUUUCCCCAGAGCUGCAGGGCCUGGCCCA
This is a long non-coding RNA of Callithrix jacchus (white-tufted-ear marmoset), 1964 nucleotides long. RefSeq lists it as uncharacterized. The record is from RefSeq and is a predicted model, not a curated record. Lineage: Eukaryota; Metazoa; Chordata; Mammalia; Primates; Cebidae.